Molecule: non-coding RNA, 29 nt
Filed under: Rattus norvegicus (Norway rat)
Lineage: Eukaryota; Metazoa; Chordata; Mammalia; Rodentia; Muridae
Source: RNAcentral
UCCCUUUUGUAGAUGUGUCGCUUCCAUGU